Molecule: long non-coding RNA, 235 nt
Filed under: Musa acuminata (dwarf banana)
Lineage: Eukaryota; Viridiplantae; Streptophyta; Magnoliopsida; Zingiberales; Musaceae
Description: long non-coding RNA (MACU_LNC009550)
Source: RNAcentral
GCCGGGGCACAGCGGCAGCGGUGGGCACUGGCCAGGGAGCAGUGGGCACGGUGGUUGCCGGUCAGGAAUCAAUGCCGGUGAUGGGGGAGAAGGAAAGCAGGGGUGGUCGGCGCCGGGAAGCAAAUGUUCCUUCUGGGUUGAGAAGGAAGCUUCGCCCUCUCAUAAUUUUUUUUUUUUUAAUGAUAGCUACGUUUGCAGCAAGAACGCCAAGGAUCGCUAGCUAGGAAGCAGUGGC